AGAUUGAACGCUGGCGGCAUGCCUUACACAUGCAAGUCGAACGGUAACAGCACUUCGGUGGCUGACGAGUGGCGAACGGGUGAGUAAUACAUCGGAACGUGCCCGAUCGUGGGGGAUAACGUACUCGAAAGAGUGGCUAAUACCGCAUACGAUCUACGGAUGAAAGCGGGGGAUCGCAAGACCUCGCGCGGACGGAGCGGCCGAUGGCAGAUUAGGUAGUUGGUGGGAUAAAAGCUUACCAAGCCGACGAUCUAGUAGCUGGUCUGAGAGGACGACCAGCCACACUGGGACUGGAGACGACGGCCCAGACCUCCGUACGGGACGCGAGCAGGUGGGUAAUUUGGACAAGUGGGACGAAAGCCGUAGACUCCGAGACGAACGUCGGACCCGGACGUU
Molecule: ribosomal RNA, 396 nt
Filed under: uncultured soil bacterium
Lineage: Bacteria
Description: bacterial SSU rRNA
Rfam family: Bacterial small subunit ribosomal RNA
Source: RNAcentral